ACUGCAAUCUUGUAAGAGCAUGCGCAACGGUGUGUUUUAGGGAGUCCUUAGCGCUAGAUUAUAGGGUAAUCACAUUAAAAAUAAAUGAAAAAAGGCAAAUAAGCGAAGGAUCAGUCCGUGUAGAAGGAACUUAAGGACUUAAUCCUUAGGGCAGCUGGCACGCUUUGAUUGGGUCGAGUUGUGUUUGUGUGUCGUGGUCACGAAAAAAAAAAUCAUUCGACACAAACGUAGAAAAAAAAACUCUCGAAGAAACAGAAGGCGAUUUUCGAUCCAUCUCGUUCCAUCUUCUUCCCUCGCGUUCCAAGAUAAAUCGAGAGGAAUCUGUAGAUUUAUGGUAUUAGAUUAGGUUCCUUGUAGUUUUCCUGUAAAUUUAGGGUUCGUUUUGCUUUUUUAAAUCGAAUUGGGGAUUUUCGUUUCAAGUUAGGGUUUCAAAUGAUUUGGGUUUUCAAUCGAUUUGUAGAGGUUUUGGUUAGUAGUUACGGUUCCGAAACUGAAAUAGGUUUGAUUAACGAUUUGCUUAUCUGCUUUUAACCAUUGAUCCAUCUGGUUCUGUCUGUCUGAUUUCAAACGAUGAAUGCUUAUCUGCUUCGUCUGCUUUUCUGCUUUGACUCAAGGUUUUAUUUUCUUGUGAAACUUAAAACACGAUCCUUUGUGUGUUUACACGAUCCCCCUCAUCUAUGCUUUGAUAAAUUUCUGUUUGGUUAGUCGUCUGAUGAUGAAUGCUCUGUGGUAGUUGUUGUUUCACUUUUGUUGUUCUAUUUUGUGCUUACAUAUUUAAAAAUUUCAGGUUAAGCAAACAUGGGCCAAGACUAUAGCUACACCCAGCCUUCCUCAUCAGACGAGUAUGACUUGACCUCACUGCUUGAAGCUGAAGCGGCUUUGUACGCCGAAGAAGCUGAGAGUAGCUACAACAUUGGUGAGCCUGUUCAGUGCCCACCUCAGCCGUUUCAGUACUUAUGUGGGGGACAUACAAAUGCGGAGGAGAUGCGUGCCUUUGAGACACAACUUAGUCUUCUCAAGGAUCAAGUUCGUGCGAGUGACCAGAAGCUGGCUACGCUCGAGAAGACCCUGUGUGAUGAGUUAUGCAAGAAGACAUCAUGGGUUACAAUUCUUGGAGUAUCUCUUCUGCUGAGCCUUUUACUUUUAAUAGCGGUGAUAAUUCUUGGAGGAACAGCUUCGAAGGAUAGUAGAAGACUAUCUAACGUGCAGAAAAGCGGUGAAAACGAUGAUGAUCUGAUGAAAGCCGCACUAGACUACUACUUCAAGGAUCAAGGCCACAAGUUUGGCAUGGAACACGCCUGGAGGGAGCUGAGGCAUGACCAGAAAUGGUGCUCAUCAUGUAAAGACAGUGGGAAGGAUAAGCGCAAACAUGUCGUGGAGGUUGAUAUAGAUGAGGAAGAGGGCAGACCGGUCGGGGUCAAGGCAGCGAAAGCUGCUUCUAAGAAGAAGAAGAGUGGGAAAGAAGAGGAGUUGUCGCGUUUACAAACCAUCAUGGAGAUUAAACAGAAACUCUCUAACCAGAAACUUCUUGAUCGUUUAUUAGCUAAAAAAGUGCCAUUAACUGAGAUGGAAACAUCACUUAAGCUGAAGUUAAUGUCUGAAAUGUUAUGAUGUUUUUCUCUUUAGGUUCCGCAGUAAAAGAGGAAGCAAGUCACGGGUGCCUUUGGAGUGGUGAAAGUCUUUUCUUCUGUAGCUCAUGUGAAGCAAGUCACGGGAAGUCCUUUUUCUGCUAUAAGUUUGUGUCUCGGUUUCUAUCUUGCCAUCACUUCUUCCUUCCUUUUUUUUCCCGAUUCCAAUCUGGUCGAGAAGAAGUUGUUUUAGUUUAUUGUUGUUGUAACAUUUAGCUACUACUCCAAGUUGUAAGUUUGGCUACAACUCUAUCUUGCCAUCAGUACUAUUUUUAAUCAGAUAUGUCAUCAUCUUCAUCCGAUGAAGUCGAUGAAAGAUUGGACGAAAUUUGUGAAGAAUACGUAGAAGAAAUAUACAACGACAUAGUGGAGGCCCAAACCAUACCGCAAAGGACACGUGCAUAUGUAGAACGACACCGCGAAGGAGGACAAGACCAAUUAUGGAAUGAUUACUUCAGCGAAAAUUCGACUUUCUCGACUCAAUUAUUCAGACGCCGUUUCCGCAUGAAUAAGGAAUUAUUCUUGCGUCUUGUUCAUGGCCUAGAAGCGUCCUUUCCAUUCUUUCAGCAAAGAAGAGAUGCAACCGGCAGGUGGAGUCUUACUGCACUACAAAAAUGUACUGCAGCUAUUCGUCUGCUCGCUUAUGGUACCGCGGCCGACACCGUUGACGAAUAUCUGCGACUUGGUGAGACCACUGCACUUUCGUGUUUACAUAAUUUUACUGACGGAAUAAUACUGUUAUUCGGAGAAGAGUAUCUACGACGACCCACACCGGAGGAUCUUCAACGACUACUCGAUAUUGGAGAGAAACGAGGGUUUCCUGGGAUGGUCGGGAGCAUUGACUGUAUGCACUGGGAGUGGAAAAAUUGCCCAACCGCUUGGAAAGGACAAUACGCCCGUGGAUCAGGAAAACCGACAAUUGUAUUAGAGGCUGUAGCAUCCCAAGAUCUUUGGAUAUGGCACGCCUUUUUUGGUCCUCCAGGUACCUUAAACGAUAUUAAUGUCCUCGAUCGGUCUCCUGUUUUUGAUGAUAUUUUAUAAGGUCGAGCUCCGAGGGUAAAGUACGUGGUCAACGGACACACGUAUAAGUUGGGGUACUACCUCACAGACGGUAUAUAUCCAAAAUGGUCAACAUUUAUCCAAUCUAUUACCCUUCCUCAAACUCCUCAACAAGAGUUAUUUGCUAAAGUUCAAGAAGCAACCCGGAAAGAUGUGGAGCGGGCUUUUGGAGUACUUCAAUCUCGAUUUGCAAUUGUGAGAAAUCCGGUCAAAACAUUGAACAAAGACAAGAUAGGGAAGAUUAUGCGAGCAUGUAUCAUACUUCACAAUAUGAUAGUCGAAGAUGAACGGGAUGGAUACUCUCGUAUUGAUAUAUCUGAAUUUGAAGAAGGAGACGUCCCCAGAUGUUCAGAAGUGGAAACCGAGUGGCCAACAAAUCUGAAUAAUAUCUUUCCCACUCGAAAUGAUCUUCGUGAUAGGCAAACACAUGAACGGUUGAAAACUGAUUUAAUUCAAAAUAUUUGGAAUAAAUUUGGUGAAGAAGAUUAGAAAUUAUUCUAUCUUUAUGUAAAAUUAAUGUUCUUUUCUUUAAUUGUUGUCUUUUUAUGUUUAAUUAAUGUAUUUUAUGUUUAAUUAUGGAAUUUUAUGUUUAAUUAUGGAA
Brassica rapa (field mustard) is the source of this 3288-nucleotide RNA transcript. RefSeq lists it as uncharacterized. NCBI's taxonomy places the organism in Eukaryota, Viridiplantae, Streptophyta, Magnoliopsida, Brassicales, Brassicaceae. The record is from RefSeq and is a predicted model, not a curated record.